GUCCUUUUGAUUAUUAUUUAAGGUCGGGCCUGCCCAAUGAGGAUUUGAAUGGCCGCAGUAAUUUGACUGUGCUAAGGUAGCAUAAUCAUUAGUUUCUUAAUUAGGAACUGGAAUGAAAGGUUUGAUGAGGGAGCAACUGUCUCUAAUGUUUGUCUAGAAUUUUAUUUUUAAGUAAAAAAGCUUAAAUUUUGUUGAAAGACGAGAAGACCCUAUAGAGUUUAAUAGAUUAAUUUUUUACACAUUUUUGUAAGUUAUUUGGUGUGAUAUUUUGAUUUAUUUGGUUGGGGUGAUUGUAAAAUUGGCUGAACUUUUACUUGAAUAUACUCACUGAUGUGUGUUUAGAUGAUCCGAUGAUUUUGAUUAUAAGAAUAAAUUACCUUAGGGAUAACAGCGUAAUCUUUUUUUAGAGUUCUAAUCGAUAAAAGGGAUUGCGA
RNAcentral lists this ribosomal RNA (434 nucleotides) under Labidostomis lusitanica. RNAcentral describes it as "partial 16S large subunit ribosomal RNA". It matches the Rfam family "Bacterial large subunit ribosomal RNA", at positions 1819 to 2523 of the family's 2925-position model. Lineage: Eukaryota; Metazoa; Arthropoda; Insecta; Coleoptera; Chrysomelidae. The record is from RNAcentral.